GGAUAAUAUUAAGUUUCAUCAGGGGCUGACAUCAAUUAAAGCUGCUGUUUCAUAUGUGGUCUUCACAUUAAAGCAGAUCAAUAGAGCCCUGGGAACCUGGUACACAGCUCUUAAUUUGUUCAUGAUAUCAACGUGGAAUUGAUUCAGAAGCAGAAGAUGUGGACUUGGAGUGCAUACAAGGGCUCAUGAAACUUUCCAGCCCUCUCCUGGGAAGGAUGUAGUUCUGAUCUUCAUAUUCAAAGCUAUAUGACCGGCCCCAUUUCCACAUUUCACUCUGUGGAAGGAAGAAGAGA
Molecule: long non-coding RNA, 293 nt
Organism: Marmota monax (woodchuck)
Lineage: Eukaryota; Metazoa; Chordata; Mammalia; Rodentia; Sciuridae
Exons: 3
Source: RefSeq, a predicted model, not a curated record